AUGUGGUUUCCUCCACCAAGCGGCAUCGCGAAGAUUAAUGUUGAUGGGGUUGUGGUACGAUCACGGAGAGGAGGCGCAGUUGCUGCCCUAUGUCGCGACCAUGAGGGGCACUAUUUGGGAUCUUUGGCGUUGGUUUACUAUGGGAUCAUAGACCCCUUAACCUUGGAGACAUAUGCAUGCCGUGAGGCUCUUGCUUUGGCGGAUGACCUGGGAUAGCAGAAGAUUUGCGUGGCAUCGGACUUCCAAGAGGCGGUUAAUGAUAUAAAUAGGGGAACAAGAGGCCCCAAUGCUGCGUUGGUACAUGAAGUAAUGAACCAUUGUGAUAGUUUUAUUACUUGCUCUUUUGUUUCCGAGCAUAGGAACUUCAAUUUUGAAGCUCACAAUCUCGCCAAGUUUGCUUGUAACCUAGAUAUAGGUAGACAUGUUUGGUUGGGCAAUCCCCAUGACCCCAAUCUUGUACCUAUGACAAUUGCUUCUGAAUAA
Molecule: ribosomal RNA, 483 nt
Filed under: Triticum aestivum (bread wheat)
Lineage: Eukaryota; Viridiplantae; Streptophyta; Magnoliopsida; Poales; Poaceae
Description: partial small subunit ribosomal RNA
Source: RNAcentral